RNAcentral lists this ribosomal RNA (297 nucleotides) under uncultured soil bacterium. Its description in RNAcentral is "partial 16S ribosomal RNA". It matches the Rfam family "Bacterial small subunit ribosomal RNA", at positions 26 to 323 of the family's 1533-position model. The record is from RNAcentral.
AGAUUGAACGCUGGCGGCAGGCCUAACACAUGCAAGUCGAGCGGCAGCACGGGUACUUGUACCUGGUGGCGAGCGGCGGACGGGUGAGUAAUGCCUAGGAAUCUGCCUGGUAGUGGGGGAUAACGCUCGGAAACGGACGCUAAUACCGCAUACGUCCUACGGGAGAAAGCAGGGGACCUUCGGGCCUUGCGCUAUCAGAUGAGCCUAGGUCGGAUUAGCUAGUUGGUGAGGUAAUGGCUCACCAAGGCGACGAUCCGUAACUGGUCUGAGAGGAUGAUCAGUCACACUGGAACUGAG